AGAGGUGACCUGACUCUCUGAGGCUCAUUUUGCAGUUGUUGAAAUUGUCCUCGCAGUUUUCAAUCAUGUCUGAACCAAUCAGAGUCCUUGUGACUGGAGCAGCUGGUCAAAUUGCAUAUUCACUGCUGUACAGUAUUGGAAAUGGAUCUGUCUUUGGUAAAGAUCAGGUAGGAACAGGUGUCUAUAAAUCUUAAGUUAUUAGAGUAAGAAUAUGGUUAAUAAAUUCUGUAUUUAGUUGUACACAAAUUGUAAAACAGUGAAGGAAUGUGUAAUCCCAGUAAAUGUAAUAGGCACAUUGCUAUAAAUGGGAGCUACUAAGGUAUUUAUAUGUGUGCCUCCAGGCACUGAAAACACUUUGCAAAUGAGAACUCUUCCAUAUAUUGUACUUAGUUGACUUGGUGCAACCAGCAGGUGUCAGUCAAUGGGAGAUAUCACUAAUGACAGUAACUUACAGUCAUGUGAGAGAGAGUACUCAGUAAGCACUCCCUUGUUCAUAAAUGGCCUUCGGAACCAAAAGAGUAAGGAAAUCUGCUUCCCAGCUGAAGCAGGCACUCCGACUUCCAGCAAGC
RNAcentral lists this small RNA (569 nucleotides) under Pongo abelii (Sumatran orangutan). RNAcentral describes it as "retained intron". The record is from RNAcentral. Lineage: Eukaryota; Metazoa; Chordata; Mammalia; Primates; Hominidae.